Molecule: ribosomal RNA, 237 nt
Filed under: uncultured bacterium
Lineage: Bacteria
Description: partial 16S ribosomal RNA
Rfam family: Bacterial small subunit ribosomal RNA
Source: RNAcentral
AUUGAACGCUGGCGGCAUGCUUUACACAUGCAAGUCGUGCGGCAGCGCGAGGGCAACCUUGGCGGCGAGCGGCGAACGGGUGAGGAAUACAUCGGAACGUACCCCGGAGUGGGGAGUAACCCACGCGAAAGUUAGGACUAAUACCGCAUAUGCUCUGAGGAGGAAAGACAGGGACGUUCGCAAGAGGCCUUGCGCUCUGGGAGCGGCCGAUGUCCGAUUAGCUAGUUGGUGGGGUAA